RNAcentral lists this long non-coding RNA (446 nucleotides) under Callithrix jacchus (white-tufted-ear marmoset). RNAcentral describes it as "lncRNA (ENSCJAG00000081961.1)". Lineage: Eukaryota; Metazoa; Chordata; Mammalia; Primates; Cebidae. The record is from RNAcentral.
GUUUAAGAAUUACUGCUCUAAGAGGUCAUCAGUAAAUUUUAAAACAGUGCCCAAUUACUCUUUCUCUGUGCUCAGUUGCUGAUGCUAUCUGCCAAGCUAUAGUCAAAGUCUGUAAAUAAAUAAACCAAUAAAGCCCUUGGGGGAAAAGUUAUUAAUCUACAACACAGUGAUCUUGUAACUUUUGAAAAUACAGGAGUCUCCCCUUAUCCUUGGUUUCACUUCCUGUGGUUUCAGUUACCCUUGGUCAACCAUGGUCUGUAAAUAGGAAAACACUUAAUUGAGGAAAAAUGCACUACAGUAGUAUACCCUUAUCUUCAUGGAAUACUUUUCAAGACCACCAAUGGAUGCCUUAGACUGAGCAUGAAGAAUUUUGAAGUUGAAACUUCACCAGAGUUGUGCCUUAGGUGGAGAAAUGGAAAACUAUAGAAGCAAAACCCAGAAAGUUA